Long non-coding RNA from Homo sapiens (human), 3035 nucleotides. RefSeq lists it as uncharacterized. The transcript is spliced from 2 exons. Lineage: Eukaryota; Metazoa; Chordata; Mammalia; Primates; Hominidae. The record is from RefSeq and is a predicted model, not a curated record.
AGUUGUGUUUUGAUGUGUGUGUGUGAGUUUUGGACGUUGUGUGUUGUGUUUUGAUGUGUGUGUGUGUGAGUUUUGGACGUUGUGCGAAGUUGUGUUUUGAUGUGUGUGAGCGUGAGUUUUGGACGUUGUGUGAAGUUAUGUUUUGAUGUGUGUGAGCGUGAGUUUUGGACGUUGUGUGAAGUUUUGAUGUGUGUGAGCAUGAGUUUUGGACGUUGUGUGAAGUCGUAUCUUGAUGUGUGUGAGCGUGAGUUUUGGACGUUGUGUGAAGUUGUGUUUUGAUGUGUGUGAGCGUGAGUUUUGGAUGUGUGAAGUUUUGAUGUGUGUGAGCAUGAGUUUUGGACGUUGUGUGAAGUCGUGUCUUGUGUGUGUGUGUGUGAGUUUUGGACGUUGUGCGAAGUUGUGUUUUGAUGUGUGUGAACGUGAGUUUUGGACGUUGUGCGAAGUUGUGUUUUGAUGUAUGUGAGCGUGAGUUUUGGACAUUGUGUGAAGUCGUGUCUUGAUGUGUGUGAGCGUGAGUUUUGGACGUUGUGUGAAGUUGUGUUUUGACGUGUGUGAGAGUGAGUUUUGGACGUUGUGUGGAGUUGUGUUUUGACGUGUGUGUGCGUGAGUUUUGGACGUUGUGUGGAGUCGUGUUUUGAUGUGUGUGAGCGUGAGUUUUGGACGUUGUGUGGAGUUGUGUUUUGAUGUGUGUGAGCGUGAGUUUUGGACGUUGUGUGAAGUUGUGUCUUGAUGUGUGUGAGCGUGAGUUUUGGACGCUGUGUGAAGUCGUGUCUUUGUGUGUGAGUUUUGGACGUUGUGCGAAGUUGUGUUUUGAUGUGUGUGUGUGUGAGUUUUGGACGUUGUGCGAAGUUGUGUUUUGAUGUGUGUGAGCAUGAGUUUUGGACGUUGUGUGGAGUUGUGUUUUGAUGUGUGCCAGUGCGGGUUUCUUCGGCCUUGCUCUCUUGUGGUCCUGCCCAGGCCGAAAAGCGAACAGUCCAGUGAGCCAACUGGACCAUGGAGGACGAGAUGCAUGUGAACCGAACUCACCAAACACGGCCUGCAGAGGAGGACCGUCCAUCCAGGGCCAGCCUGCAUCCAGGGGCCUGCUGACCACAGCCUGCAGAGGGAGAGACCGUCCAUCUGAGGCCCUGCUGACCCAUAGCUGUGCACGCCUGCUCUUUCCAUAGUGGGUGGUCUCUCAGCAGCAAGGCUGUGGCGUGGAGAACUCGAACAUGAGGUACUUGCCCCGUGACACCCUGCUGGUGUCCCUGAAUCUGGCUGUUAAUGAGGAUGGACACAGGCGUCGGCAGGCCACGCUUUGAGAGGGUCUGCCGCUGGCACUGAGGCGAGACCUGAAGAGGCACAGGCCCCGGAGGAGGUGGGCGCCGCACCCUUGAGGUGGAGAACCCCGCCUUUAAGGACACACGAAGCUGGCCGGCUGCCAGAUGCCGCGGUUCCGGGGAGGAGAUGGGACGCUCUCCUCCGGGCCUGAGAUGGCAGGAUCACGAGGGGACCUUGGGUCACCUGCGUGGCAGCCUCUGAGGCUGCCCUGGCUCCCAGCCCGGUCCUUGGUGCAGGUCAGGAGCUGCUAGGAUUCCUGUUUCACUAAACAUUUGAUUCUUAUCUUCUCUGCAGUGUUUCCCAUGGGGUGCAGACCCGCUGCCCGGGCGGCUCAUGUGUAUCCCAGCAGCUCACGUGGUCCUGCUCUCCUGAGUCCCCCAUGCAGGGGCGGUGUCCAGGUCCAGGUGGGCGAGUGCCUCCUCUCCUGCGUCCUGGGCCCGUGGGUCCUGUUGAGUCUAAGCCACAUCCGAUCACUGGUGUAUGACUCCUGUACUUGCUGAUUCUCCUCCACCGUGCCUGUGGGACAAGCACCCAGCGGGGCUGGGCACACGAGAUGCCUGGUCUCCUUUCUGGAGGGUCCCUGAUAAGGACCUCGAUGCCUGGCCUUGUGAGGACCCCACUGGGUUCUCUGUGUCUCAGGAAUGCUGGUAGGUUUGGCAGCCAGUGUUCACUGAGAGGCAGUGUCUGGGGCCAGGGGACCUGAGCAUGAAUCUUGUCUUUGCCACUGACCUUGCCCCGCCUGGACACCGUUUUUCCGUUUGUAAAGUGAAGUGAAAGCCACUGACGGCCCCUGGGCCUUUCUUCCCUCUGGCCACAGUCGACUGAGACUGUCACCAUCCCCGUUGCAGAUCUGGGAGUCUUGUGCUGAGGUUGGGUGUGUUGAAAAUGGAAACGCAGCCGCCCACCCUGGGCUAUCUAUUCCUGGAGCAAAAUGCUAAGUUCCUUUGAGCCUGAGGUGCUCCCAGCUCCAGCCUCAUCCCAGAGACCCGUCACCAACCUGUGGUCUGCAGAGAUUAGGUGGGACCAAGCCGGGGUCUCCAUGGUCAGGCCUGGAAGGCUGUGCUCUCCCCGGACCACCAGGGGCUCAGCCACACUUCCGGGGCCCAGCAAGGAUGUCCGUGGGUCGCCCCUGGUUCUUUGAUCCUGUGCUGAUUUAGAAUCUGAAUCUCUGUACUCAGGAAAGGCUUAGGAAUCGAGAGCUGCAGAGAUAAAGCAACAAGGGACCCCCAGCAGGGACUGGAGGGAUUCUGAGCCCCCCGGAGCUGCUGGUGGUCCUGAGGUGCCACGGACGUGAGUGCCCAGGCCUGCACGGGGCCCCUCGGUCUUUGGACCCUGGCACUGUUGGACAGAUCUCCCCGCAGGCUGCCCAGCGCUUGCAAGCGACAAGGCAAAGAGCCGGAGAGAGAAACCGAGGAGGAACACCUGCCUCUGCCCUGGUUCCCAAAGGACCCCCGUGUGAGAAGCCGUGAUCAUGAACACGGAUACAAAGAACUCAGAGUAAAUCAUAAUUUUGUUGUAAAACGGAAAUGGAAGAAAAAUGAGCUCUGUGAACAUAAUUUCAGGCAAAUGAAAAAUUGAUUGGAAACGGACUUCAAGGUUAGACCAUUGGUCCAGGAUUCAUGACACCGGAUCGAUAGUGUUUGCUCUGGAAAAUACCUUUUCACUGAACAUCCACGAACAAAGGCAAGGUUAUAAUAAAGCUUUUGGAAUUCAAA